This 1407-nucleotide long non-coding RNA is filed under the name Macaca fascicularis (crab-eating macaque). RNAcentral's name for it is "lncRNA (ENSMFAG00000056680.1)". Lineage: Eukaryota; Metazoa; Chordata; Mammalia; Primates; Cercopithecidae. The record is from RNAcentral.
AUGGAGACUUGGUCCAGGACGACCACUGAAGGAUACCCAGACAGCCUCCUGAGCACUGGGAUCCAGCAGCUCUCAGAGGAGAGUGGGACGGUGGUCGCAUCCAGGCCUGCUCCCUGUCUCCAAAUCUCCCUGCACAAAGGCCAUAGGAUGGGUGCUGAGCACAGCCUAAGCUCCCCUGGGCCAGGAGGAGGCUUUCAGGCAGGGGAAGCCAAGAGGCCUACAUCUCCCCAAGAGAUCCCUCCUCUCCUUCUACUCUGUUCCCCCGACAACCACACCCGGGCACCCUUUCCAGGCCCAGUCCACACUGCUGGGCUACUCUGUUCCCCCGACAACCACACCCGGGCACCCUUUCCAGGCCCAGUCCACACUGCUGGGCUACUCUGUUCCCCCGACAACCACACCCGGGCACUCUUUCCGGGCCCAGUCCACACUGCUGGGCUACAGGUGCCUGCCUGUGGCUCACCCCUAGAGAGCCAAACUAGGAGGCCUGGUGGUCAGGACCACAGCGGGAUACUCAGGGUGUGGCUCCCGCUGCAGGACGGCUCCACAGGCCUCCCAGGGCUUGUGGAGGACGGAGCAGGUGCAGCAAGAAAGACGAAAGCCUCCCUGCCUCCUCCACACAACCCACAGGUCCCCAGGGCCUGUGCCCAUCCUCCGCUUGGACAGGCCUCAACACCGCCACCCACCUGGCGGAGGCAGCAGAGCCAGACGGGCAAGGGGGGGUCCUACACAACACAGAUCGCCUCGUGUACCCCCACCCCGAUCCCCAGGAAGCUGCAGCCCCACAUCCAGCGUGCCUGGUCCUCCUGGGAACAGAUGAGCAACCCUGGCAGCCCAAUGGCACACACUCCACAGGUCCCCCACAGGCAGGGAGACCACCCGCCCUCCAGGGUUACAGAGGCAGAGCCAAGGAAGUCGGCAGUGGGCAGGUUGCUGCUAAGUGGGAGAUGGUGGGGCGGUGAGGGGCCAAUUCUGACUCACAAAACCUCAGCUUCCUGCUCCCCUCCCCCUCCCACCACUGACACCCUGCAGAGGACAGGCGGCAGACUGAUGGGGGCCCAGGUGUCUGCGGGUGCCACACCUACCUCCACACCCCCAAGCACAGCUCACUCAGGCACAGGCCCUGAGCUGCGGCUCCUCCCCCACUCCACCCACUCCCCCAAAGGCCUCCUUGUGCUCGGCCCCAAACCACCAUCUGGGCCCAGCCCUGGCUGGCACCCAGGACUCACCCAGUUCUUGCCACGAGGCAGCAGGCGGAGGAAGGAAGAGGGGUUUAUGAACAGGGACAGCAGUCCCUGCACUGCAGCCUCCCCCAGGCCAGGCAGGAAAGGCAGUCUUCCCCAGGAGGAUGGGCAAAGUGGCAGGUCACUGUCUACCUUGACCCUCUCCACCCCAUUUGUCUUGUGA